RNAcentral lists this long non-coding RNA (844 nucleotides) under Pan troglodytes (chimpanzee). RNAcentral's name for it is "long non-coding RNA NONPTRT011316". The record is from RNAcentral. Lineage: Eukaryota; Metazoa; Chordata; Mammalia; Primates; Hominidae.
GCAUUAAUGUCUUCUUUUGAGAAGUGUCUGUGCAUAUCCUUCACCCACCUGUUGAUGGGGUUGUUUUUUUCUUGUAAAUUUGUUUGAGUUCUUUGUAGAUUCUGGAUAUUAGCCCUUUGUCAGAUGAGUAGAUUGCAAAAAUUUUUCUCCCAUUCUGUAGGUUGCCUGUUCACAUAUUUUACUUCUGCUCUUUUGUAACUCUCAGAAUCUCUUAGCUCUGAGAUUUGAAAAGCAGGCAAAAAAACCAAACACACAAAAAACAUAAUCUCAUCUCCACAAUGUUUUUGCCAUUUUAAGGUCUGAAGUUUUUGUUUCUGUCUCCUCCACCCUGCUUUUCCAUCCCUUUGUUUCACUAAGCUAUAAUUGUCUGCCCAAUGUAGAUUACAUUUUACAUCUCAGAUCAGAGAAACAUGUGGAAGGAAAUGCAGAAGUUAAAAAUAACAUGAUUUGAAUGUUUUAUUCAAGGCAUACUUAAAUAGGCAGCAUCAUUAACAACACUGAUUGACAAUAUGGCUGAAUGCAAAAGCUAUCCAAAAAGGGAGUGUUUGCCCCUGCAAAACAACAAGAUGUUAGGCCAUGGUAAUAUUAGGUUCAAUGUUUCACUUGGCAGCUUCCAUAGAGUCAGGAAAUUUGGCUUUCUGACUUCAAGUUUAAUAUUACUGAAAAAGUCUGUAAUGUACACUACAGAAGGGAAAAAGGAAGGGAAGUGGCACAUAUGGAUUGAAAACUGAAGAGAAUUAAUACCCAGUCAACAAAAUAUAUGCAUAUAUGUGGUGUAUAGGUAAAAUUUAUGAAUUACAUUUUUAAACAGGAUAAAAUGUGAAAUUUUAUAAAAAGGGACCCA